CACUAUCGUUAACUGAAUACAUAGGUUAACGAGGCGAACCGGGGGAACUGAAACAUCUAAGUACCCCGAGGAAAAGAAAUCAACCGAGAUUCCCCCAGUAGCGGCGAGCGAACGGGGAGCAGCCCAGAGUCUGAAUCAGCUUGUGUGUUAGUGGAACGGUCUGGAAAGUCCGACGGUACAGGGUGAUAGUCCCGUACACCAAAAUGCACAGGUUGUGAACUCGAAGAGUAGGGCGGGACACGUGGUAUCCUGUCUGAAUAUGGGGGGACCAUCCUCCAAGGCUAAAUACUCCUGACUGACCGAUAGUGAACCAGUACCGUGAGGGAAAGGCGAAAAGAACCCCGGCGAGGGGAGUGAAAAAGAACCUGAAACCGUGUACGUACAAGCAGUGGGAGCACCUUCGGGUGUGACUGCGUACCUUUUGUAUAAUGGGUCAGCGACUUAUAUUCUGUAGCAAGGUUAACCGUAUAGGGGAGCCGCAGGGAAACCGAGUCUUAACUGGGCGUUAAGUUGCAGGGUAUAGACCCGAAACCCGGUGAUCUAGCCAUGGGCAGGUUGAAGGUUGGGUAACACUAACUGGAGGACCGAACCGACUAAUGUUGAAAAAUUAGCGGAUGACUUGUGGCUGGGGGUGAAAGGCCAAUCAAACCGGGAGAUAGCUGGUUCUCCCCGAAAGCUAUUUAGGUAGCGCCUCGUGAAUUCAUCUUCGGGGGUAGAGCACUGUUUCGGCUAGGGGGUCAUCCCGACUUACCAACCCGAUGCAAACUACGAAUACCGAAGAAUGUUAUCACGGGAGACACACGGCGGGUGCUAACGUCCGUCGUGAAGAGGGAAACAACCCAGACCGCCAGCUAAGGUCCCAAAGUCAUGGUUAAGUGGGAAACGAUGUGGGAAGGCACAGACAGCCAGGAUGUUGGCUUAGAAGCAGCCAUCAUUUAAAGAAAGCGUAAUAGCUCACUGGUCGAGUCGGCCUGCGCGGAAGAUGUAACGGGGCUAAACCAUGCACCGAAGCUGCGGCAGCGACACUAUGUGUUGUUGGGUAGGGGAGCGUUCUGUAAGCCUGCGAAGGUGUGCUGUGAGGCAUGCUGGAGGUAUCAGAAGUGCGAAUGCUGACAUAAGUAACGAUAAAGCGGGUGAAAAGCCCGCUCGCCGGAAGACCAAGGGUUCCUGUCCAACGUUAAUCGGGGCAGGGUGAGUCGACCCCUAAGGCGAGGCCGAAAGGCGUAGUCGAUGGGAAACAGGUUAAUAUUCCUGUACUUGGUGUUACUGCGAAGGGGGGACGGAGAAGGCUAUGUUAGCCGGGCGACGGUUGUCCCGGUUUAAGCAUGUAGGCUGGUUAUCCAGGCAAAUCCGGAUAAUCAAGGCUGAGGUGUGAUGACGAGGCACUACGGUGCUGAAGUAACAAAUGCCCUGCUUCCAGGAAAAGCCUCUAAGCAUCAGGUAACAUCAAAUCGUACCCCAAACCGACACAGGUGGUCAGGUAGAGAAUACCAAGGCGCUUGAGAGAACUCGGGUGAAGGAACUAGGCAAAAUGGUGCCGUAACUUCGGGAGAAGGCACGCUGGUGUGUAGGUGAAGCCCCUGCGGGUGGAGCUGAGACCAGUCGAAGAUACCAGCUGGCUGCAACUGUUUAUUAAAAACACAGCACUGUGCAAACACGAAAGUGGACGUAUACGGUGUGACGCCUGCCCGGUGCCGGAAGGUUAAUUGAUGGGGUUAUCCGUAAGGAGAAGCUCUUGAUCGAAGCCCCGGUAAACGGCGGCCGUAACUAUAACGGUCCUAAGGUAGCGAAAUUCCUUGUCGGGUAAGUUCCGACCUGCACGAAUGGCGUAAUGAUGGCCAGGCUGUCUCCACCCGAGACUCAGUGAAAUUGAACUCGCUGUGAAGAUGCAGUGUACCCGCGGCAAGACGGAAAGACCCCGUGAACCUUUACUAUAGCUUGACACUGAACAUUGAGCCUUGAUGUGUAGGAUAGGUGGGAGGCUUUGAAGCGUGGACGCCAGUCUGCGUGGAGCCAACCUUGAAAUACCACCCUUUAAUGUUUGAUGUUCUAACGUUGGCCCCUUACCGGGGUUGCGGACAGUGUCUGGUGGGUAGUUUGACUGGGGCGGUCUCCUCCCAAAGCGUAACGGAGGAGCACGAAGGUUAGCUAAUCCUGGUCGGACAUCAGGAGGUUAGUGCAAUGGCAUAAGCUAGCUUGACUGCGAGCGUGACGGCGCGAGCAGGUGCGAAAGCAGGUCAUAGUGAUCCGGUGGUUCUGAAUGGAAGGGCCAUCGCUCAACGGAUAAAAGGUACUCCGGGGAUAACAGGCUGAUACCGCCCAAGAGUUCAUAUCGACGGCGGUGUUUGGCACCUCGAUGUCGGCUCAUCACAUCCUGGGGCUGAAGUAGGUCCCAAGGGUAUGGCUGUUCGCCAUUUAAAGUGGUACGCGAGCUGGGUUUAGAACGUCGUGAGACAGUUCGGUCCCUAUCUGCCGUGGGCGCUGGAGAAUUGAGGGGGGCUGCUCCUAGUACGAGAGGACCGGAGUGGACGCAUCACUGGUGUUCGGGUUGUCAUGCCAAUGGCACUGCCCGGUAGCUAAAUGCGGAAGAGAUAAGUGCUGAAAGCAUCUAAGCACGAAACUUGCCCCGAGAUGAGUUCUCCCUGAGACUUUAAGUCUCCUGAAGGAACGUUGAAGACGACGACGUUGAUAGGCCGGGUGUGUAAGCGCAGCGAUGCGUUGAGCUAACCGGUACUAAUGAACCGUGAGGCUUAACCUU
RNAcentral lists this ribosomal RNA (2758 nucleotides) under Klebsiella pneumoniae. RNAcentral's name for it is "23S ribosomal RNA". It matches the Rfam family "Bacterial large subunit ribosomal RNA". The record is from RNAcentral. RNAcentral also lists the same sequence under 1 other name. Lineage: Bacteria; Pseudomonadati; Pseudomonadota; Gammaproteobacteria; Enterobacterales; Enterobacteriaceae.